RNAcentral lists this ribosomal RNA (253 nucleotides) under uncultured bacterium. RNAcentral's name for it is "partial 16S ribosomal RNA". It matches the Rfam family "Bacterial small subunit ribosomal RNA", at positions 524 to 776 of the family's 1533-position model. The record is from RNAcentral.
UACGUAGGGUGCGAGCGUUGUCCGGAAUUACUGGGCGUAAAGAGCUCGUAGGUGGUUUGUCGCGUUGUUCGUGAAAACUCACAGCUCAACUGUGGGCGUGCGGGCGAUACGGGCAGACUGGAGUACUGCAGGGGAGACUGGAAUUCCUGGUGUAGCGGUGGAAUGCGCAGAUAUCAGGAGGAACACCGAUGGCGAAGGCAGCCCCCUGGGUUAACACUGACGCUCAUGCACGAAAGCGUGGGGAGCAAACAGG